CAGCUGGAACAGACUGAAGCAUUCCAGGCAGAACUGCAAGUGAACGACGGGGAAAUACAUCACCGUGGGAGAGAGCGGGACUAGUUCAUCUCCAUCUUCAACCCAGCAACACUCUUCUUUCAUGGGAGGGAAAGGAUAGCCACGUGAAAAUCGACAGAUGGGCUUGGAUUCUAGCAGCAGGAAGAUACCAAUGGACCAGUCCCAGAUUCCAGACUGGACUCACCUCCAGAGGUUCCCAGGACCCUGAAGAAUUUUAGGUGAACGUUGGCAGUGCGGUCACACAGUCGCCAUGGGGCCUGAACUCUAGGGCCGUGGAACGUCUCAGGGGGUGCCUCCCCUAGGGAUCCCCAGGGCGAGGUCAACUGCCCAGCUGAAGCUUUGAGAUGGCUUUUGUCUGGUGAUGGAUGGAGAAAAAGAUCUUGCUGGGCCCUCCAGAAUGUUGCACCGGAGCGAGUGGAAAUUCAACACCAAGACAAAGGUUGUGUUUACUUCAGGAAGAAGAGUCCCCAUGCUCCUGCAGCUCUGCCAUGGUACCACGAGGCCCAGGGUAUGAAAUAAAAAGGGCGUUUCACUCGGGCAUGUGCUUUCUGUGUGAGGGCAGUUCCUGCCCUCCUAAGCACACAUGGGGCACCUGCCCAAUGCUCAAGCAGAACCUGCUCUUUGCUUGUCCUCCUGGGCCAUCUCUCUACCUCUACAGAGCCGAGUAUGUCUUCCCUGAGAGAGACAGCCCCACUCUGAAAGCCCUCACAGACUCAGGGCUCCCUGUGCUCACACCAGCUCUCUGUCCUUCCCCCCAUCCAAGCUGUCGCCCUCAUGUGAGCAGUUUGGAAGAGACAGAGGAGGAAGCAUCCUCCUCCUGCUCCCCAGGUGGAAGAUUCUUCACAUCUUUCCCAAUUUUCAUGUCUGUAAUAAGUUUACCUAUUUCUUCAUACCUUUUGUCCUAUUUCUCGGUCUGUUCUGAGUCCUGCCUUUCUUUUGGAUCAUUUGUCAAAGUAAAGGCUGAAAUUUGUGCGAUAUAAUGUAGAAUUAACCUUAUCCAUAGAUCGUACUUGGAAAGGAGUUCCUUUUACAUCUCCAGUGUCGGGAUUAUACGGUACCACCUUUAACUCUCUCUAAGAGCAAUAAGCCUUUGUAUAAUUGGGGUUUCUGAGAGUGAGUUAAUUUCUCUCUCACAUGGCAAAGCUUUUAUACCCAAUAUGAGUUUUAAUAACCAAUAUGAUAUUUUCAGUAUUUACUUAAAAUACAACUGUCUGAACAUUAGCUCCUGUGAAUGCCACUUUAUCCUUAAGAGACGUUGAAAAUCGCUGUCUGAGAAAGUACUCUCUUAAUUAUUCUACUAAUGCCAUAUGUUGUCCACUUACUCACCGAAUAGCCAGUGGACUCCAAGGAGCAGUGAGAAUAUGAGAAAAGGCACUCUGGUCUGUCCGUUCCGCUGCCCUGCUCAGGAACUCAGUGGAGCAAGCACUUCCAGAGCUGGCCAGGCUCCCCACCUGGCUCUUCCACCCCGUGCUGACCUGUGAACUAUCGAAUCCUGUGGUCAGCAUUUUCACAAAUCAUCAUCUCUGUUCUCAACAGGUAAUAAACAAAAAUCGAGUCCAAAAAUCUGUUGUUGGGACAAUGGCAUGUUUAAAACACAUCCCAAAGCAUUGUUGUCUAAGCAGUGAAAUGGUUCUCUACGUUUUAGCUCAAAACGGAGUAGAACUAACUUGUAACCAAUGAUUAAUAAUAUGAGCUCACACUGCUAGCACUUAGGGCUCUGAAAACUCAAAGCUGUUUAUAAAUUUGGCACCAGAACUCAUCAGCCAGCAAAGCUGGAUAUGAACGAACGGAAAUACACUUGUGAGUUUAUUUAUUCCAUGAUGUGUUUGAUUACAUGGUGAUCUCUUAAAUGUUGUAGGUGUGACAUAUAUGGUUAUAGGCAUUCUAAUGCUUUUUUUAAGUCCAACAUUUUCUAAUUUCCAAAUAUAUCUGACUAUAGGAGAUUUGGACAAGGCAUUGUGGGCUUAUAGGUGGUGUUAAUACUUCAUAUUACAAGAUUGAGUUACCUUCAAGGUUACAUUUUUUGUUUUUGAGAUGGAGUUUCGCUCUUGUUACCCAGGCUGGAGUGCAAUGGCACGAUCUCGGCUCACCGCAACCUCCGCCUCCUGGGUUCAGGCAAUUCUCCCGCCUCAGCCUCCUGAGUAGCUGGGAUUACAGGCACGCGCCACCAUGCCCAGCUAAUUUUUUGUAUUUUUAGUAGAGACGGGGUUUCACCAUGUUGACCAGGAUGGUCUCGAUCUCUUGACCUUGUGAUCCACCCGCCUCGGCCUCCCAAAGUGCUGGGAUUACAGGCUUGAGCCACCGCGUCCGGCCUCAAGGUUACAUAUAACUACUAUCUACAUGGUACCAAAAGAUCCAUAAAAAUGUAAAAAUAGCUGUGAGCAAUUUUUAGACCUGAACACUGCCCAACUACAUUUUUUCAUUUUCAAACAGUUGGGCAGACACCAGUUUAAUAAGCAGUACAGAAAUUCUCCUUGUUCAGUCAGAUGAAAUUCAUUGAACAUGGAUUGUGUGCAUCCUUCUUUGCAGUGCCCUGUGAUAGCGAAAACAAAACCAUUGGCUACACAGACAUCUGAAAAAUAGUCUCACCUUCUGUGAAAUGUUUACAUACGUCUUAAAGCUGUAACUUCCACCUGCUCCUGAACUGGUUCCGUCUUCCUCGUCUCAGCUCUCAGUUGUCAUUAAUAGUGAGGUCAUGUAAUUCCUGCAUUGAGCAUGGUAAUCAAGCUCAUUAACGUUUUGGACACUUCACCAGCUGUUAUCCCUACCGUUAAACUUACCUUUCAUUCUGUUUCCUGAAGCUUUUGUCAUAGUUAUGUAAAAGCUUCAAAACCUUCUUGAGAAGUUCAAAUUAGGGAUUUAUUUUGAACUUGAAACUUACAGCCCCCGUGUUUAUCUGCAUUUCUUUGAUGUAACAUCAGACUGAAUUUAUAAAGAGAGGCAACAGACUUCUCUGGACAAACAUUGCUUCUGGUAGGAUCAGAAGUUCAAUGAAAACAGCUUCCUCAAGGGAUUUAGAAGAGAUUUUUUUCCAGGCUAGGUUGGAAAUCAAAAGGAGGGAAAACAGGUUGUUCGAACCUUUCAGAAACUCUAAGAAGAAUGCAUUUGGCUCAAAAAUUAAGUCAAAGUUCUGGACAACAAAAUAGAAUAAUAAAUUUUUUAAAACAUGAAUAUGUAUAUUAGGAAUGCCUGUUUCAUUGAACUUUUAAUUAAAUCUAAGUUUUCAUGAUUUCAAAAGCUGUGUUAUGCCUAAGUUAGAAAGCAAAGAUGAAGAUUGAGAGUGGUGUAUUCCACACCUAGAGGAUGGCACCGCCCACCCCAGGCAGAGCUGCCUCCGGACCCUCUUCACUGCACGUAUACACACAACAUUAUGGUUUCACCAAAAUCAAUUCAUACUGUACAUGGUAUUUUAAACCUAACAAUGGAUAUCAAUCAUUUUAUGUCAAAAACAUAUGCAAUAAAUUUCCUUCAUCUUCUGAAGAGUUCCCUCCACUCCCUUCUGUCCAAAACAGAUCCAAUCCAUGACUAAUCACUGGAUUUGGUGGUGGUGGCCCUUACGUUUCUCUCCGCUUGGCACCGUCCACCUCCUGCCCCCAUUUCUUUAUUCAUGUCACAAAAUUAUUAAAAAACAAAAUUCACAAGCUGAUUGUCUUGAGGAAAAUAUUCAGCCUUCUGGAUGUACCUGGUGGUGUCCCUGUAAUCGAUCUCAGUUUAAUCCUCUGAGUCUUGUACUUUCUACAAAUUGGUAGCUGGAUUUGCAAGCUAAAUGGAAUCACACAAAAUAUUUUGCCAGCAUCAUUCUCUGUGAUGUAGUGUGAUUCAUGUUGCAUCUCAUCGGGAGGCACGACUGAUGGUUAGUGAUGGGAAAUCAACAGCUGAAUUCGAGUCAUACUUGACCCCUCCACAUACAGUUAGAGUUUUCACCUCACUUCUCGGAACUAGUCUAUGUGGAAUUACUUUAGCCUGUGCAGAUACCCAGUUUCCCAGGAAUGCAAUGGAACAGUUUUAUUUUUAUAUUUUAUAGUAGCU
This 4068-nucleotide long non-coding RNA is filed under the name Callithrix jacchus (white-tufted-ear marmoset). Its description in RNAcentral is "lncRNA (ENSCJAG00000081852.1)". Lineage: Eukaryota; Metazoa; Chordata; Mammalia; Primates; Cebidae. The record is from RNAcentral.